Molecule: ribosomal RNA, 1340 nt
Filed under: uncultured bacterium
Lineage: Bacteria
Description: partial 16S ribosomal RNA
Rfam family: Bacterial small subunit ribosomal RNA
Source: RNAcentral
GACGAACGCUGGCGGCGUGCUUAACACAUGCAAGUCGAACGGAAAGGCCCUGCUUGCAGGGUACUCGAGUGGCGAACGGGUGAGUAACACGUGGGUGAUCUGCCCUGCACUUCGGGAUAAGCCUGGGAAACUGGGUCUAAUACCGGAUAGGAGCCAUUUUUAGUGUGAUGGUUGGAAAGUUUUUCGGUGUAGGAUGAGCUCGCGGCCUAUCAGCUUGUUGGUGGGGUAAUGGCCUACCAAGGCGGCGACGGGUAGCCGGCCUGAGAGGGCGGACGGCCACAUUGGGACUGAGAUACGGCCCAGACUCCUACGGGAGGCAGCAGUGGGGAAUAUUGCACAAUGGGCGCAAGCCUGAUGCAGCGACGCCGCGUGGGGGAUGACGGCCUUCGGGUUGUAAACUCCUUUCGCUAGGGACGAAAGCUUUUGUGACGGUACCUAGAUAAGAAGCACCGGCUAACUACGUGCCAGCAGCCGCGGUAAUACCUAGGGUGCGAGCGUUGUCCGGAAUUACUGGGCGUAAGGGCUCGUAAGUGGUUUGUCGCGUCGUCUGUGAAAUUCCGGGGCUUAACUCCGGGCGUGCAGGCGAUACGGGCAUAACUUGAGUACUGUAGGGGUAACUGGAAUUCCCGGUGUAGCGGUGAAAUGCGCAGAUAUCAGGAGGAACACCGAUGGCGAAGGCAGGUUACUGGGCAGUUACUGACGCUGAGGAGCGAAAGCAUGGGUAGCGAACAGGAUUAGAUACCCUGGUAGUCCAUGCCGUAAACGGUGGGCGCUAGGUGUGAGGGUCUUUUCACGACUUUCGUGCCGUAGCUAACGCAUUAAGCGCCCCGCCUGGGGAGUACGGCCGCAAGGCUAAAACUCAAAGGAAUUGACGGGGGCCCGCACAAGCGGUGGAGCAUGCGGUUUAAUUCGAAGCAACGCGAAGAACCUUACCAAAUCUUGACAUCCUUUGACAACUCUAGAGAUAGAGCCUUCCCCUUCGGGGGACAAAGUGACAGGUGGUGCAUGGUUGUCGUCAGCUCGUGUCGUGAGAUGUUGGGUUAAGUCCCGCAACGAGCGCAACCCUUAAGCGUAGUUGCCAUCAUUAAGUUGGGCACUCUAAGUUGACUGCCGGUGACAAACCGGAGGAAGGUGGGGAUGACGUCAAAUCAUCAUGCCCCUUAUGAUUUGGGCUACACACGUGCUACAAUGGACAAUACAAAGGGCAGCGAAACCGCGAGGUCAAGCAAAUCCCAUAAAGUUGUUCUCAGUUCGGAUUGUAGUCUGCAACUCGACCACAUGAAGCUGGAAUCGCUAGUAAUCGUAGAUCAGCAUGCUACGGUGAAUACGUUCCCGGGUCU